UUUAUUUUUUACUUUUUUAUUAUCAAUAAAUAAACCUGCAGUGCUCUGUGAUAAUUACCAUCUUUUCUCUGUUUUUGUCCAGGAACAGCCGCCAUGUUGUUGGCGUUGGCGGCCAUGUUGCUGAGGUCAGACAGUGUUUUAGUUGGCAGAUCCGCAAACCUGAGGAGGUUUGAUGAUCAUUUCCACAUGAAUGCAUCCAUUUGUCACCAUGACUGGAUGCUGCGGUGUGAGAGGCAGCAAAGUGUUUUCCCACAGUGAGGAACACACACACACACACACACACACACACACACACACACACACACACACACACACACACACACACACACACACACACACACCGGGCCUGGUAACUAGCUGGUGAUGAGUGGGCGUGAUGAUGGUGGCUGAUUAACAUCUGAGGCGACGCAGAGAGACGAUAAGGAGACGAAGAUCCCAGAGGAGCUGAGGGGCGUCUCAGUCACUGUGACAGAAAAGUCAGAAGCUGGAGCCUUUUCUCCGGAGGAGAGGCGGAGGUGGGAACCGCGGAGCAGCUAGCAUCACACCGUCUCUCGCUGCCCUCCGCUAAUUGGAACACGCCCCUCCGCUCCUCUGGGGCCUGUUAGCGACCUCCCACUGUCCGGCUCUCUGAUUGGCUGAGAUGCUUAUCAGUCGUUAGCGCCAGUCCAUGUAUUCAUUUCCCAACUCUUCCACUUUCCCCCGUCCUCCGUGACCUCUUCCUCUUUAUUACAGAUUAACGGGAAGAAAAACGGAGGAAAAUCAAAGUUUUACUUUCAGACUGUUUUAAAAUGAUUAAAAACUUUCCUGAUUCCUAAAA
Xiphophorus hellerii (green swordtail) is the source of this 817-nucleotide long non-coding RNA. RefSeq lists it as uncharacterized. The transcript has 2 exons. Lineage: Eukaryota; Metazoa; Chordata; Actinopteri; Cyprinodontiformes; Poeciliidae. The record is from RefSeq and is a predicted model, not a curated record.